AUUGGUGCUAGUUGCGGACUUGGGGUAUAGACACCAUUUUACACACGUGGUAUCACGUUGAGGUAGGCGUGGCUUGAAUGUCGACCAAUGGAACUUAUCAAGAUGUAGAUUGCUCGUGUUUGAAUUUCUUACCACUCAACACUGAUGAGUGACCAGGACCAGAAAAAAGUUGAGUAGAUGGACUAGUCUUGCCCCCGCCCCUUCACUACCUGUGGAGGAAGGAAGACUGUGUCUUACAGCUACUCUGGUUAUUGGUUUGGCAUUGUUACAUUCAGAAAUGAUGUCUCUUCCUUUCUGUAGACACAUUUACAAGUAUUUACUUAACAAGAAG
Molecule: long non-coding RNA, 331 nt
Organism: Amphimedon queenslandica
Lineage: Eukaryota; Metazoa; Porifera; Demospongiae; Haplosclerida; Niphatidae
Exons: 3
Source: RefSeq, a predicted model, not a curated record